AGUAUACUCCCUCCAUCCGAAAAUACUUGUCAUCAAAAUGGAUAAAAAGAGAUGUAUCUAGAACUAAAAUACAUCUAGAUACAUCCCCUUCUAUCCAUUUUGAUGACGAGUAUUUCCGGACGGAGGGAGUACAAC
This is a non-coding RNA of Triticum aestivum (bread wheat), 135 nucleotides long. NCBI's taxonomy places the organism in Eukaryota, Viridiplantae, Streptophyta, Magnoliopsida, Poales, Poaceae. The record is from Rfam.